ACCACUGGGUAGCUCAGUCAGUAGAGCAUGAGACUCAAUCUCAGGGUCAUGAGUUCAAGUCUCAUGCUGGGCA
Molecule: non-coding RNA, 73 nt
Organism: Podarcis lilfordi (Lilford's wall lizard)
Lineage: Eukaryota; Metazoa; Chordata; Lepidosauria; Squamata; Lacertidae
Source: the annotation of a GenBank genome assembly